GGGAGCCUGAGAAACGGCUACCACAUCCAAGGAUGGCAGCAGGCGCGCAAAUUACCCAAUCCCGACACGGGGAGGUAGUGACAAUAAAUAACAAUACGGGGUUCUUUAGGAUCUCGUAAUUGGAAUGAGUACAAUUUAAAUCUCUUAACGAGGAACAAUUGGAGGGCAAGUCUGGUGCCAGCAGCCGCGGUAAUUCCAGCUCCAAUAGCGUAUAUUAAAGUUGUUGCAGUUAAAAAGCUCGUAGUUGAAUUUCGGGGUUAGUAGGUUGGUCAUGCCUCUGGUAUGUACUGGUCUCACUGAUUCCUCCUUCCUUAUGAACCGUAAUGCCAUUAAUUUGGUGUUGCGGGGAAUUUGGACUGUUACUUUGAAAAAAUUAGAGUGUUUAAAGCAAGCUAACGCUUGAAUACAUUAGCAUGGAAUAAUGAAAUAGGACGUUCGAUCUUAUUUUGUUGGUUUCUAGGAUUGACGUAAUGAUUAAUAGGGAUAGUUGGGGGCAUUAGUAUUCAAUUGUCAGAGGUGAAAUUCUUGGAUUUAUUGAAGACUAACUACUGCGAAAGCAUUUGCCAAGGAUGUUUUCAUUAAUCAAGAACGAAAGUUAGGGGAUCGAAGACGAUCAGAUACCGUCGUAGUCUUAACCAUAAACUAUGCCGACUAGGGAUCGGAUGAUGUUAAUUUUUUAAUGACUCAUUCGGCGCCUUACGGG
Molecule: ribosomal RNA, 703 nt
Filed under: uncultured fungus
Lineage: Eukaryota; Fungi
Description: SSU rRNA
Rfam family: Eukaryotic small subunit ribosomal RNA
Source: RNAcentral